Non-coding RNA from Ictidomys tridecemlineatus (thirteen-lined ground squirrel), 68 nucleotides. The record is from Rfam. Lineage: Eukaryota; Metazoa; Chordata; Mammalia; Rodentia; Sciuridae.
GGGGCUGUGGCUCAGUGGUAGAGCGCUUGCCUAGCAUGUGUGAGGCCUGGAUUCCAUCCUCAGCACCA